Molecule: ribosomal RNA, 438 nt
Filed under: Triticum aestivum (bread wheat)
Lineage: Eukaryota; Viridiplantae; Streptophyta; Magnoliopsida; Poales; Poaceae
Description: partial small subunit ribosomal RNA
Source: RNAcentral
AUGUCCUGCAUGCACGUACGUAUAAGGUCUAGGGUUUACCUUAUCACACCGAUCGACAUGUGUACGCGUGUAUCUAAGUCGAGAUGCAUGUGCUUACGCAUUGUGCUCGUUUCUGAAGAUUCUGGCACCCUCUUCGAGGUAGAGGUCGAUGAUCUCCUUGGCCGUGCAGAGCGGGCGGUUGUCCUUGUCGGGGCCGGCCAGCAUGGUGGUGACGAGGGCGCCUGUGCUGGUGCCGACGAUGUAGUCGAAGUAGUCGGCGAGCCUCGCCGUCGACGACCCCUCAAUCCUCUGGAGCUCGGCUUCGAGGUACUCCAGGAUCUUGGCCGGGAUGAGGCCGCGGAUGCCACCACCGUCGAUGCAGAGGAUCCUCAGCUCCCCAUCUUGCUUCGUUGCUGCAGCAGCAGGCGCCAUUUGGAUCGAUCGCUCAAGCUGUGCUAG